Alosa alosa (allis shad) is the source of this 1029-nucleotide long non-coding RNA. RefSeq lists it as uncharacterized. The transcript has 3 exons. NCBI's taxonomy places the organism in Eukaryota, Metazoa, Chordata, Actinopteri, Clupeiformes, Clupeidae. The record is from RefSeq and is a predicted model, not a curated record.
GGGAAACAGGCAAAUGAAACAUAAGGCUUUCGUACAAUUUCCCAGUUAGCUCGUUAUGAUUGGAUUGUAGCCACUUUACAGACACUUGAACAACCCGCCUCUCUGCAACAAUUCCCACGGGAGUCUAGAUUCUUCACUGUGGGUAAACACUGCCACGAGCGCACGAAAACACCAAGGCGCGUUUUUUUCCGCCUAGAAAGGUUCCAGAAGGAUUGUAGAGGUCACGUAGGAUCAUUCGUAUACAGAUACAAGAUUACUCUCUCGAAUCCAAACUGUCCAUUACGUAAUGUCGUUUUAUAUCACAUCGCAUGCCAAGGUCUAACAUUGUUAAAGAGAACACAAACAUCUCAAGCGGAGAACUGGGAGAAACGGGAGAAAGUGGUGAACACUAUACGCCACAUGCCCUCCUCCCUCCUCGCUUGGUCCUCCUCCCCUCGCUCACAGUCUCUCCCUCCCUCCCCUCCCGCUCUGUGACGGAGAGAAUGCCCGUGUUGUACUGACAGAAACGUUACGGGCUUAGCAGGCAUGGAGGCCCGAUUAAUGAGAGAGGCCCAUUCCGACACGUCCAAGCUCGACUAACACUGUCCCGGAGAAGGAUUCCGGCGACAUUCUGGGAUACGACGGAUAAUUACCGCUGUACAGAAAAAGAAGGAGUGGGAGAAGAAAUACAGGGAGAGAUCCAUUUCGGGUCUCUGUUGAUUCAACGCAGCCGCCAUUUUGUUGACACACUUGCAACAAAAAUACUGUGGCGACCAUGUUGAUACACAAGAAGGGAGGAUUUUGAUCCAAAUUAUGUGAGCUCCGUUUUUGGACCGCUAUUAAGAUUGAAGGUGAGAGGGCUGGCCAGCCAGGAAAGGGACAACUGCACCACUGCCAGGAGAGGAUUGCUUUUUCAGAUCUCUCUCUCAACCCCCCUUUCCCCUUCCCCUUUACUCCCCCUCCCUCCUCCUGCUGAACCUUUGCCUCCCUCCCCAGCACCAGUGAGAGAACUCUUGACCUGACGGCCGCACCUACCAUUUCCCCACAUAA